RNAcentral lists this long non-coding RNA (580 nucleotides) under Homo sapiens (human). RNAcentral describes it as "HSALNT0200535". The record is from RNAcentral. Lineage: Eukaryota; Metazoa; Chordata; Mammalia; Primates; Hominidae.
UCGGAAGGUUCCGACCUCAGUAAAGAGAGCUAACGUGUAUUCUUCUUUUUCUUAGCGUGUUGCUUUGUCGCCCACGCUGGUUGCAGUGGUGCGAUCUCAGUUCACUGCAACCUUCGCCUCCCAGGUUCAAGCGAUUAUCCUGCCUCAGCUUCCCGAGCAGCUAGGACUACAGGAUCUCAGCUAAACGGGAAGCAUUUUUGAAAAGUGAUUGCACAAUUGAGAGUGAAAAUUACUGAGUCCUGAACAGGCAACUUACAUUCUAAUACCAGCUCUGUCUCCAUCCAGCCGACUGAAUAGUCGUGAUUAAGUUACUUGACUUCCUUGGAUAUCUAGAUCCUUAAAGUUAAAGAAUUAUACAAGAUAAUAAUAUUUUCUUCAAACUUUAGAAAAUGACUUUAUGAACCGCCUUAAGUUUGUAUGUUUUCAUAGCUUUCAAGAGCUUGUUUACACACUCAAUUCUAGAUUCUAGAUACUUUCUAGAAAAUAACUGACUUAACUCAUUCAAUUGAUAUAUUUGUUAGUUGUACUCCUACUCAUAUGCUUCAGUUAAUUAUAUAUGUUGAACAGGUAGGAAGCAGUG